RNAcentral lists this small RNA (399 nucleotides) under Lelliottia amnigena. RNAcentral's name for it is "cspA thermoregulator". It matches the Rfam family "cspA thermoregulator", at positions 1 to 384 of the family's 428-position model. Lineage: Bacteria; Pseudomonadati; Pseudomonadota; Gammaproteobacteria; Enterobacterales; Enterobacteriaceae. The record is from RNAcentral.
UCGGUUUGGAACACAGACCUUAUGAAAGCAGUUUUAGUAAAGCAGUCCUCAGUUCAAGCGUUAUCCUGGAUACCCCUUCUUCAUGAGCCUCCUCCUAAGUGCCGCAUAAGUUAAACUCUGAAAAACAGGCCAAAUUCGCCGCGUGAGUGGCUCUAAAAUAAGAAAGGAAAUAUCUAUGUCUAACAAAAUGACUGGUUUAGUAAAAUGGUUUAACCCUGAAAAAGGUUUUGGCUUCAUCACUCCUCAGGAUGGCAGCAAAGAUGUAUUCGUACAUUUUUCAGCGAUCCAGAGCAGCGAUUUCAAAACCUUAGACGAAGGCCAGAAAGUGGAGUUCUCAAUCGAGAACGGCGCUAAAGGCCCAUCAGCGGUUAACGUUAUCGCGCUGUAAUCGCCGAUAAU